This 1509-nucleotide small RNA is filed under the name Pongo abelii (Sumatran orangutan). RNAcentral describes it as "retained intron". Lineage: Eukaryota; Metazoa; Chordata; Mammalia; Primates; Hominidae. The record is from RNAcentral.
CGGGGCAGGAGGGACGCGCGCGGCUGAGGCGAGGUGGCUCAGCGCAGCUGUUGCGGGGCCAUGGCGGGGACGGCGCUCAAGAGGCUGAUGGCCGAGUACAAACCCUUGAGAACGUGCAGUGAGAGCUUGAGGAAGAAGGCCUGACUUGCUGCUGCGGAAUUAGGAAGGAAAAGUGUAUGCGUUAAAAGGGGAAAGGCUCGUUGGUGGAGCUUUGAAAGGUCAGAUUUUGGCUUUCCCUCUAAUGAAGGAAAAGGGUUUUUGAACAGUGCCACCUGUCACUCCUCCUAGGUAGUGUUGAGAAAACCUCUUGAGUGCUUUCCUACCCGGUAAAUUAGAUAUUUCUAAUGUCUGAGGAGAGCGAAGGGAGAAAUGAGAACCUAGGAACACUCGGCAUUCCAUCGUUUUACACCGAAUGCCCGCUUGGAAGAACUGCUGCGAGAAGUCUUGGAAUGCUAUUGUGUUGAAAGCGCCAGGAACCUGACUCGCCGGUGGAGACAAGAUAGUAGCCGGCUAAGAGCAGGGCCUGAGUUCAGACCCGGCCUCUCUGCUUGUUAACUCUUUGACCUUGUUCCUCUCUCUGUCUCAGCAGUUACCUUAUCUUAAAAGGUUAAACUUGAUACUGCAGGUGAAGUGCUUAGCAAAAUACCUGCUGUGUAACUCUUAAUAAAGUUAGCCGCUGCUUUUGUAAUUAGAUUGAGGGUAAUUUUGGAAGAAAGUUAAGCUAAAAGAAUGAAUGUGAUAAAAAAAAAAGUGGUGAAUAUACAUGUAGCUUGAUUUCGUAAAACUAUUGGUGACACCGCACAGUGAGAGUUGAUGUUUGGCUUAAGCAGACCAAAACAUUGCAAAUACAGGCUCACUCACGUAUGGUCAUUCUUCCCUUGGUAUCUGGAGGGAAUUGGUUCCAGGCCCCCCUGCAGAUACCAGAAUCCUCGAAUGCUCAAGUCCCUACUAUAAAGUGGCGUGGUAUUGCAUUUAAUGUAUGCAUAUCGUCUCAUAACUUUUAAAUCAUCUCAAGGUUACUUAUAGUACCUAAUGCAAUGUAAAUGCUGCGCAAAUAGUUACACUGAUUUUUUUUUACUUGUAUUUUUAAAUCGUCAUUUUUUAUUGUUAUUUUUUUCAAAUAUUUUGUAUUCCUGGUUGGUCGAAUCCAUGGAUAUGCAGCCGCAGAUACACAGGGCCUCCUGUAAACGUUCAAAUAACGCUCGCCACCUAGUGUCUGCUAAAGCAGAACAUAGAGGCACACCUCACUUUCCCGCACGCUUUGCUUUAUUGAGCUUCACUUCGCAGAUCUUGCAUUUUUUACAAGUUUACAGGUUUUUUACAAGCAACCCUGCAUGGGAGCAAGUCUGUUGGCACCAUUUUUGCUUGCUUCGUGUCUCUGUCACAUUUUAAUCUAUUACUGUGAUCUGUGAUCAGUAAUCUUUGAUGUUACUAUUGUAAUUAUUUUGGGGCAUCACGAACUAUGCCCGUAAAAGAUGGUAGUCCGAAUAAAUGUUGUGUGUGCUUCAC